This is a long non-coding RNA of Leopardus geoffroyi (Geoffroy's cat), 424 nucleotides long. RefSeq lists it as uncharacterized. Lineage: Eukaryota; Metazoa; Chordata; Mammalia; Carnivora; Felidae. The transcript is spliced from 4 exons. The record is from RefSeq and is a predicted model, not a curated record.
CUGUCAUAUUCUGUGGGUUGAAACAGUCAAGAGGCUACCCAGACUUAAGAGGAAGGCAUUUUAGAUACAACUCAUUCCAGUUGGGCUUUGAUCAAGCUAUCAAGGGUCUAUUAAUACAAUUCCCAGAAACUUCAAGUACACCCUGGAACUGAAUUUUGAAGUUGGACUAUCCCAGAUAUUUCAAGUGCAUACACCCUGAAGUAUAAACGAAAGAAUGGAGGCUCCAAUGUAAUGGAGGAAUUACAUUUUUUAAAGUUUCAAUCUGCAAUACCUCAAUCUUUCUACCAAGACCUUGAUCUCUGAUGUGGAACUUCGUCAAAUGCUGUCUGAAAAUGUAAGAGCACACUCUUCACUGCAUGGAGACAAAGCCAGAAUCUUCCUUGAAAGGCAGGAGGGUGCUGAAUGAAUAAACAUUGGCAUUUUG